CACGUAUUUAGCCGGAGCUUUCUUCUAUGGUACUGUCAUUAUCUUCCCAUAGGACAGAACUUUACGAUGCGAAUACCUUCUUCGUUCACGCGGCGUCGCUGCAUCAGGGUUUCCCCCAUUGUGCAAUAUUCCCCACUGCUGCCUCCCGUAGGAGUUUGGACCGUGUCUCAGUUCCAAUGUGGCCGUUCAUCCUCUCAGACCGGCUACUGAUCGUCGCCUUGGUGGGCUGUUAUCUCACCAACUAGCUAAUCAGACGCGAGCCCAUCUAUGACCGAUAAAUCUUUGACCGUUGAAACAUGUGUUUCUACGUAUUUUAUGCGGUAUUAAUCCCCGGUUUCCGAGGCUAUCCCACUGUCAUAGGCAGGUUGCUCACGCGUUACUCACCCGUUCGCCACUCUCAUUAGUAAUCUUCCACCGAGCUUCUGUCUACUAAAUCCCGUUGACUUGCAUGUGUUAAGCCACGCCGCCAGUCGUUCGUCCGUGUACGCCGAGGUACGUACUAAACUACC
This 509-nucleotide ribosomal RNA is filed under the name uncultured Finegoldia sp. Its description in RNAcentral is "partial 16S ribosomal RNA". Lineage: Bacteria; Bacillati; Bacillota; Tissierellia; Tissierellales; Peptoniphilaceae. The record is from RNAcentral.